Molecule: ribosomal RNA, 429 nt
Filed under: Bacteroidota bacterium
Lineage: Bacteria; Pseudomonadati; Bacteroidota
Description: Bacteroidetes bacterium partial 16S ribosomal RNA
Rfam family: Bacterial small subunit ribosomal RNA
Source: RNAcentral
UAGGGAAUCUUCCGCAAUGGACGCAAGUCUGACGGAGCAACGCCGCGUGAGUGAAGAAGGAUUUCGGUUCGUAAAACUCUGUUGUUAGAGAAGAACAGCGCAUAGAGUAACUGUUAUGCGUGUGACGGUAUCUAACCAGAAAGCCACGGCUAACUACGUGCCAGCAGCCGCGGUAAUACGUAGGUGGCAAGCGUUGUCCGGAUUUAUUGGGCGUAAAGCGAGCGCAGGCGGUCAAUUAAGUCUGAUGUGAAAGCCCCCGGCUCAACCGGGGAGGGUCAUUGGAAACUGGUUGACUUGAGUGCAGAAGAGGAGAGUGGAAUUCCAUGUGUAGCGGUGAAAUGCGUAGAUAUAUGGAGGAACACCAGUGGCGAAGGCGACUCUCUGGUCUGUAACUGACGCUGAGGCUCGAAAGCGGGGGUAGCAAACAGG